GGAGUGCCCGACUGUGUCGUCGUUGUUUCUUAAUGGAAAUUUUACGCUGAUCACCUGAAGUGGGUUAAUAAUAAUCAUGUUAUACUAUAGUUGUUUUUCACUGUCACUUUUCUCUCCAUUGUUUUAUAGUUUUCUACAUUUCCUCGUGUUGAAUAAUUUUGAGGUUAUGAAGGAAAUACUAAUAAUUAUGGUGGAAUUUUGUUAAGUUUAUAAAUAUUAUUUUCAAGAUUAUUCAACAGAAACUUGAUAAGCUAUUAAAGAUUACAUUUCUCAGCUGUCUUUAAUCCUAUAUGUUAUCAUUUUACAGGAUUAUUUGACCUCAAAAACUCUUAAAAUACUAAACAUAAUGAUAAGAACCAUUUUUUUCUUGAAUCUACUAUCAGUUUCAAGCUAUUAUGAAAUCCCAAGUUCCUUGAAAUUAAAUUACUUUUCCCUGAAAAUUCGAAAACUCAUUUUGAGGUUCAAUGAUACGAAGCUUCAUUAUAUUUCAGUAUAUGAUCUCCUGGCUCUCAAGACACACAUAUACAUAUAAAUAAAUUCCCAUUCGGUUGAGUAACAUUCUGACCAAGUCAAGUGUAUGUGUCUUUGUAACACGAGAGCCUCGACUAUUCAGGCAAGGUGCUUAAGUGCCCCGCACCGGCCAUUCCAGUUGAUUUUCAACCGUGAUUGAGUGACGACGUGCCUUGGCUCGCGGAAUCAAAUAAGUAUACUAUAUACACCUGUAUGUGUUGGCAGGAAGUGCGAUGCGUAUACGCCGCGUGUGGCAGCAACCAACUGUUGAGUUCCCUCGCCAAAGGAUUAGGCAACCGAUCAGCGGCACAUCCGAGCCCAAUCCGAGCAAAGUCACCCUGACAAGGCCUACGAGCUGAAUUCGCAAACGUUUAAGGCUGCACUGAGAGAAAUUUCUGACAAAAAGUGAAAGGAAUAGACUUAAUUUUCUAUAAAUAGAAAAGAAAUUACUAAAAAAUUGGUUUCUGAAUUUAAAUAUUUUUCACCCAAAACAAAUUUCCCAGAUUUUUCUUUCUGUGCAUCCUGACUGUUGCUGUCGUUCCUAUAGAGUUCUCUGAAUUUUCCGACACUGCUUAUUCACGGUUGUCGAACGCUCGACGACGACGGGCAAACAAACGUGCGGCACGUUGCCGCUACACGUGAGUUUCCCCGGUUGCCUCGCCAAGCCCAGCAGCUAGUGGAAGCGAGAGGCCCGAGGCGGAAAGCUCGGCCAGCGCCGGCGACUACUUGUGGAAGCUUCGCUCGGGCCGGACGGGCAUCUCAUGCGACUGCAAUGUGAAUAAUCGCGCGAGUGCCCCACAUGUGCCACUGUGUGAGUGGGUGUUUCUCUCAGUGUCAGUUGUUGUGUGUGUUGCGAGACAUGCAAAAAUCCAGCUCGCAUUCUACUUUGUGCGUUCCAAGUCAGCGGUUCGUUGAGCGGGUCAAAAAAUAGUAUCUAUAAAAUACGCAUCUAAUGGAUACAAGAUCUCUCUCUGAAAACAAAUAACUACUAAAAUAUAGUAAUAGCAAAUAAAAGAGUUAUUUAUGGAAAUUAUUAUUCUAUUAAAUGUGAGAAUACAGAAAAAAUAAAAAUCAUAAUUCUCUCAAAAAGUGCUUAGCUAUACUAUUUGGUUUUGUGAGUGUUAUAGUGAGUGCCUGGAAGAAUUCUCUUUCGCUGGCUACGGUCUCCGAUUGCAAUUCACAAAAGUGCAAAUUAAAUGUUGACGUUGUUUUAGCAUUUUACCCAACAACAGAGAUUAAACUUUACCUAAGUGAACAAAAAACAAUCUUUAAAAACCGAAAACCUUAAAAAGAAACCCCACAAGUGCUUGGAAAAGCUUUAAAAAAUAUUUAUAAACAAUAUUUAAGUGUAGAAGUUUAAGAGUUUACUUACUUUACCCCACUCCAACACUAUCUUAUAUCAAAACCAGAGAGGAAUACGAAAACCGGGUGAGAAACCCUAUU
Molecule: long non-coding RNA, 1953 nt
Organism: Drosophila ananassae
Lineage: Eukaryota; Metazoa; Arthropoda; Insecta; Diptera; Drosophilidae
Exons: 2
Source: RefSeq, a predicted model, not a curated record